Non-coding RNA from Lolium perenne, 1476 nucleotides. NCBI's taxonomy places the organism in Eukaryota, Viridiplantae, Streptophyta, Magnoliopsida, Poales, Poaceae. The record is from RefSeq and is a predicted model, not a curated record.
CGUCUCGACCCCCCGCCGACCACCGGAAUCCGGUUGUUCGCCGCCGGCAACCUCCGCUGCUCAUCCUCCUCCUCUGCCACUCCACGAGCCUGUCUUCGAAUGCGACCUCCGCGCCUUACCAAGGCGCAGACGGCGGCGGCGUGCACGCCCUACGUGGCCGCUCCUCAUCCGCUUGCGCCGCCCCGACGUGUCAGCUCCUCAUCCGCACUUCCCUCCUGGUCAAUCGAAGAUUCCUCCUAUUUGCCUGCCUUCCCCCCAAACACCCCACCAAACUCGUCCGUCCUCUUCCUACCGCAGUAAGCUCACGCAGCAACCAUGGCGGCGUCAGGAACCCUAGUCGUGUACAGGGCGCUGUUCACCGCGCUGGGUCUGUCAAUGGUGGGCACCCUGGUGUACACUUGCAUCACCGACGGCUCCCCUUUUCGCGCGGAGCUGCUCACUCCGUGGAUGGUGACAACACUUGUUGAUUUUUAUGUAAAUGUGAUAGCGAUUUCGACUUGGGUUGUCUACAAGGAAGUAAACUGGAUUAGUUCUGUCUUCUGGGUAGUUCUGUUGUUUUGUUUCGGCAGUGCUACUACAUGUGCUUACAUAGUUACCAAGCUAUUUGAGAUAACCCCUUUAGGGCCUUCGCAAGAUCCACUUGAUCAUUUAUUGCUAAGGCAAGAUAGUUUACCAGAAAGGAAGUGUUCUUUUGUCACAGUUGGGAGAAUUAUUUUUAGCAUUUUGGGCAUACUCAUGGCUGCGCUUGUCACAUAUACUGUCGUUACAGAUGGCCUGCCUUUUAGGAAGGAUUUGUUGACACCGUGGAUGGCUGCAACCUUAUUUGACUUCUAUAUAGAUGUCUUUGCAAUAUCGGUAUGGGUUGUUCACAAGGAGUCGACUUGGAUCUCAUCAGUCAUUUGGAUAUGCUUGUUGAUAUGCUUUGGAAGCAUCACAACAUGUGGCUACAUUGUGGUUCAACUUCUCCAAGUAUCAUACGAAGACCCAAUCUACCAUGUGCUGCUGAACUCUCAUAGCAAGUAUGGAAUUGCACCCUCUCAAUAAUCCUUGAUAUUCUACGGAUCUGGAUAGCUUGCACUUGUGUAAACUCUGCUUGACAGUCAUUUAUAUCUGUUUGAAAUGUAGGAAGAUUUGAAUAUAUUGAAGAGCUAUGAUAUGUUUUGUACACAAUAAAUUCUCUCUUAUACCAUAGCAUGCAGCAAUAAAGGGCGAAUCAUAAAUCAUUCAACACAAUCGGUGCUAAAACCUAGUGAAGGUCAGUAGCGACUUUCUUGAUAUGUUGGAUAAUUACACUCAUUGGCAAAUAAACUGUAGAAAUCAAAGCUUGCAUAACCUUUUUAUUUGAGGCAUCUCGCCCUUGUGUGUGGAAGCAUCAACUCAGGGCAGAGAAAUCCUUCAACCAUUUGCACUAUUUCGUAUUCCUUGACUUACAAGGCGUUUGUUCUAAUAUAAGAAGAAAGUUGCUAUUUCCCUUCA